Molecule: long non-coding RNA, 944 nt
Filed under: Vulpes vulpes (red fox)
Lineage: Eukaryota; Metazoa; Chordata; Mammalia; Carnivora; Canidae
Description: lncRNA (ENSVVUG00000009710.1)
Source: RNAcentral
AAUGAUCUUAGGCAAAUAACUUCUCCAAGCCCAGAGUCCCCAUCUACACUGGGGACAUUGUAGCAUUGUUGGUAAAGCUUAGCAAAGUAUUUCCAGAAAUAUGCCCGCCACACACAGUAGUCACUUAAUAAAUAUUUGUUCUUUCCUCUUUCUAAUCCCUGACCGCCCCUCUCAAAUGGAAACACCAGCCGUCAAGGACAUCACGAACAUUCUGAAAACUACAAGUCGGUCAGAAUUUAUUGGAGCCAAUGCUGAGGGUGAUGAGGGGCCCACAGUGGAACUUCUCCAUGGAUCAGCAACAGCGACAAUGGGGUUUCCAGACAUCUGGCAGGACCCAGAGAAUGAAUGAUAUGAAUAAAAAAAAAAAAUAAAAGUCUUUCUAAUUCAGUCCUUCAAGAUUGAGAAGCCCAAGAAAAUUCACAACGCAUGGCCUUCUCCAUCUAAACAUGUAUAGGGCCUUCAACUUCUAGCUUCCUCUUGGAUGCCCAGAGCUCCGAGAGUGCUGUUCUAUGGACCCCAGGAAGCUGCCACACCCCAAGCCUCUACCCUUCUUCUCCUCAGCUUCAGAACCUGCAUGUCUCUGGAAGUCAUUAAAGCUCUUCAGGAGCUUGUCCUGCCAGCCCCGCAAAUUUGCCCAGGAGAGCCCUAAGGAAGCCUUGAUUCGCGUGCAACCGCCCUCAUUCCUCAACCCACUCCAGGCCCCCCGCCUGGACAUCCCUGCUCCUCUUCACCAGCCCAGAGGAGGAGCGGAGCAUCUAAACCCUCUGCAGCACAGUUCCUAGAAACUGAAUGGCCUUUCCCAGCUCCCGACACUAAUAUGGCUAUUUAUAAAGCACAUUCUACGUUCGAGGCACUAAACGAAACUACUAAAUAUUAUGUGGAUAAUCUUUAUUCCUCCCAUCAGCCCUGAUUUAUAUCCAGGAAAGCAUCACUGAGUGCUUCCU